This 129-nucleotide small RNA is filed under the name Serratia marcescens. RNAcentral's name for it is "RtT sRNA". It matches the Rfam family "RtT RNA". From Rfam's summary of the family: This family represents a bacterial cis-regulatory element known as RtT RNA. RNAcentral also lists the same sequence under 1 other name. Lineage: Bacteria; Pseudomonadati; Pseudomonadota; Gammaproteobacteria; Enterobacterales; Yersiniaceae. The record is from RNAcentral.
UUCGUCUGCGGUUUAUGAGGAUGAGCACCUCCGCAGGAGGUUCGAGCCUCGCGAAGCGAGACAACGUUGCUUUAGCAACGGCCCGCAGGGCGCGCAUCAACGAUGCGCGUAAUCCUCUCUCGCCGACCA